RNAcentral lists this ribosomal RNA (521 nucleotides) under uncultured Chitinophaga sp. RNAcentral's name for it is "bacterial SSU rRNA". It matches the Rfam family "Bacterial small subunit ribosomal RNA", at positions 91 to 610 of the family's 1533-position model. Lineage: Bacteria; Pseudomonadati; Bacteroidota; Chitinophagia; Chitinophagales; Chitinophagaceae. The record is from RNAcentral.
GCGACCGGCAAACGGGUGCGGAACACGUACGCAACCUUCCUUUAAGCGGUGAAUAGCCCAGGGAAACUUGGAUUAAUACACCAUAAGACAGUGGAGUGGCAUCACUCAGCUGUUAAAGCUCCGGCACUUAAAGAUGGGCGUGCGGCUGAUUAGGUAGUUGGCGGGGUAAUGGCCCACCAAGCCGACAAUCAGUAACUGGUGUGAGAGCACGACCAGUCACACGGGCACUGAGACACGGGCCCGACUCCUACGGGAGGCAGCAGUAAGGAAUAUUGGUCAAUGGACGCAAGUCUGAACCAGCCAUGCCGCGUGGAGGAUGAAGGCCCUCUGGGUUGUAAACUUCUUUUAUCUGGGAAGAAACCGGACUUUUCUAAGGCCGUUGACGGUACCAGAUGAAUAAGCACCGGCUAACUCCGUGCCAGCAGCCGCGGUAAUACGGAGGGUGCAAGCGUUAUCCGGAUUCACUGGGUUUAAAGGGUGCGUAGGUGGGCAGGUAAGUCAGUGGUGAAAUCUCCGGGCUU